GACGAACGCUGGCGGCGUGCUUAACACAUGCCAGUCGAACGGAAAGGCCCUGCUUUUGUGGGGUGCUCGAGUGGCGAAAGGGUGAGUAACACGUGAGUAACCUGCCCUUGACUUUGGGAUAACUUCAGGAAACUGGGGCUAAUACCGGAUAGGAGCUCCUGCUGCAUGGUGGGGGUUGGAAAGUUUCGGCGGUUGGGGAUGGACUCGCGGCUUAUCAGCUUGUUGGUGGGGUAGUGGCUUACCAAGGCUUUGACGGGUAGCCGGCAUGAGAGGGUGACCGGCCACAUUGGGACUGAGAUACGGCCCAGACUCCUACGGGAGGCAGCAGUGGGGAAUAUUGCACAAUGGGCGGAAGCCUGAUGCAGCAACGCCGCGUGCGGGAUGACGGCCUUCGGGUUGUAAACCGCUUUCGCCUGUGACGAAGCGUGAGUGACGGUAAUGGGUAAAGAAGCACCGGCUAACUACGUG
Molecule: ribosomal RNA, 468 nt
Filed under: uncultured bacterium
Lineage: Bacteria
Description: partial 16S ribosomal RNA
Rfam family: Bacterial small subunit ribosomal RNA
Source: RNAcentral